CCCAGUACUUGUGUUUUCGUUGAACUGUUAGACAAAAACUUAAACAUAGCUGCAAAAAUAAAUCUUCUCUGCAACCCAGAGCUCACUGUUGGGUAUGAGCCUAAAUACACAUAAGGAGUAUGAUA
This is a small nucleolar RNA of Jaculus jaculus (lesser Egyptian jerboa), 125 nucleotides long. RefSeq annotates it as small nucleolar RNA SNORA40. The record is from RefSeq and is a predicted model, not a curated record. The transcript has a single exon. Lineage: Eukaryota; Metazoa; Chordata; Mammalia; Rodentia; Dipodidae.